Molecule: non-coding RNA, 24 nt
Filed under: Cricetulus griseus (Chinese hamster)
Lineage: Eukaryota; Metazoa; Chordata; Mammalia; Rodentia; Cricetidae
Source: RNAcentral
AAGGCCUUGUCUGUGAUGAACUGC